UACGGAGGGUGCAAGCGUUGCUCGGAAUCAUUGGGCGUAAAGGGUGCGUAGGCGGCUUUUUAAGUCUGACGUGAAAGCCCAGGGCUUAGCCUUGGAAGUGCGCCAGAAACUGGAAGGCUAGAGUGCCGGAGGGGAGAGUGGAAUUCCUGGUGUAGCGGUGAAAUGCGUAGAUAUCAGGAGGAACACCGGUGGUGUAGACGGCUUUCUGGACCGUAACUGACGCUGAGACACGAAAGCGUGGGUAGCAAACAGG
Molecule: ribosomal RNA, 253 nt
Filed under: uncultured bacterium
Lineage: Bacteria
Description: partial 16S ribosomal RNA
Rfam family: Bacterial small subunit ribosomal RNA
Source: RNAcentral